AGACGUCUCUUUCCAUACGGGUGUGUUGAGCUCCAUAACAACCAGGAGUCACUUAGCAGGAACUGGCUCUCUUAAGUACCAAAGUUGUUAUUCGUCACGGAUUGGUUGCCAUUCUUCAAAUCUAAUCUCAGUGCACAGAUUGCGACAGGACAAGGACCCAACAACGCGUGGAAUUCAGUCCUGGCCGCUGGCUGAAUGAAAAAUAAAGCACAAACAGACGGAGCAUGUCUGAGCGUGAUGUGUGUGUUCGUGUGUGUGCAUGUGUGUGCGUGCAGGGCGGACAUUAAGGCCUGAGAGGAGAUUCCUAAAAAUCAAGACAAUGUCGGGACAAAGAUGUGAGCACCAUGAAUGAAACCUGUUUAGCUUGUGUCAACAUGAGAACCAGCUCUAAUCCGCUGACCACCUGUUUAUUUAUUAAUACACAGAAAAUGUUAAUUGAGGGCAUUUCAUGGGCAUCAUACAUAUGUAAAUAUUUGUGUGUGUGUGUGUGUGUGUGUGUGUGUGUUCAUGCACUUGUUUAGUGUUUAUUUCUUCUUAUGAACAUAUGCGAGUCUCAUUUCAUUAUCACAAGACAAACCUCAUUAAUAAAAUGUGCCUAAAAUACAUUAAAAGCAUAAAGGAAACAAAGAGACAAUGUGAGACACUGAGGCGGGACAUAAUACACAUCUCAAAGCCUCUGGAAACAGUAUGAAAAUAUCCAUCUAAACAGGAUCAUUAUGCAAAAACAACAAUAAACUGGUUCUGAUGAUAAACAGACUGUCAUAUCUCUAUACCCGAGCCAGAGGGCAACACACUCUGUGACAUCCAUCUUCUUUAAGUAACACCGCUCAUAAUGACACUGCGCAUGGUGGGAGCAAAACACACACGCCAAUGUACCGCCAUAAACACA
Long non-coding RNA from Siniperca chuatsi (mandarin fish), 889 nucleotides. RefSeq lists it as uncharacterized. NCBI's taxonomy places the organism in Eukaryota, Metazoa, Chordata, Actinopteri, Centrarchiformes, Sinipercidae. The transcript has 3 exons. The record is from RefSeq and is a predicted model, not a curated record.